RNAcentral lists this ribosomal RNA (735 nucleotides) under uncultured microorganism. RNAcentral's name for it is "bacterial SSU rRNA". It matches the Rfam family "Bacterial small subunit ribosomal RNA", at positions 85 to 850 of the family's 1533-position model. The record is from RNAcentral.
GGAUACACGAGCGGCGGACGGCUGAGUAACGCGUGGGAACAUGCUCCAAAGUGAGGAAUAAGCUCCAGAAAUGGAGUCUAAUGCCGCAUAUGAUCUUCGGAUUAAAGGAUUUAUCCGCUUUGGGAGUGGCCUGCGUAUGAUUAGAUAGUUGGUAAGGUAAUGGCUUACCAAGUCUACGAUCAUUAACUGGUCUGAGAGGAUGAUCAGUCAGACUGGAACUGAGACACGGUCCAGACUCCUACGGGAGGCAGCAGUGAGGAAUCUUCCACAAUGGGCGAAAGCCUGAUGGAGCGACGCCGCGUGCAGGAUGAAGGCCUUCGGGUUGUAAACUGCUUUUAUAAGUGAAGAAUAUGACGGUAACUUAUGAAUAAGCACCGGCUAACUACGUGCCAGCAGCCGCGGUCAUACGUAGGGUGCAAGCAUUAUCCGGAGUGACUGGGCGUAAAGAGUUGCGUAGGUGGUUUGUUAAGUGAAUAGUGAAAUCUGGGGGCUCAACCUCACAGACUAUUAUUCAAACUGGCAAACUCGAGAAUGGUAGAGGUAACUGGUAUUUCUAGUGUAGGAGUGAAAUCCGUAGAUAUUAGAAGGAACACCAAUGGCGUAGGCAGGUUACUGGACCAUUUCUGACACUGAGGCACGAAAGCGUGGGGAGCGAACCGGAUUAGAUACCCGGGUAGUCCACGCCGUAAACGAUGGAUACUAGCUGUUGGGGGUAUCGACCCCCCCAGUAGCGAA